This 513-nucleotide ribosomal RNA is filed under the name uncultured bacterium. Its description in RNAcentral is "partial 16S ribosomal RNA". It matches the Rfam family "Bacterial small subunit ribosomal RNA", at positions 28 to 523 of the family's 1533-position model. The record is from RNAcentral.
GAUGAACGCUGGCGGCAUGCCUAAUACAUGCAAGUCGAGCGAACAGAUGAAGUGCUUGCACUUCUGACGUUAGCGGCGAACGGGUGAGUAACACGUAAGGAAUCUACCUAUAAGCGGGGGAUAACAUUCGGAAACGGGUGCUAAUACCGCAUAAUAUCUUCUUCCGCAUGGAAGAAGAUUGAAAGACGGCUCUGCUGUCACUUAUAGAUGACCUUGCGGUGCAUUAGUUAGUUGGUGGGGUAAUGGCCUACCAAGACAAUGAUGCAUAGCCGAACGGAGAGGGUGAUCGGCCACAUUGGGACGGGGACACGGCCCAAACUCCUACGGGAGGCAGCAGUAGGGAAUCUUCCGCAAUGGGCGAAAGCCUGACGGAGCAAUGCCGCGUGAGUGAAGAAGGCCUUCGGGUCGUAAAACUCUGUUAUAAGAGAAGAACAAAUUGUAGAGUAACUGCUACAGUCUUGACGGUAUCUUAUCAGAAAGCCACGGCUAACUACGUGCCAGCCGCCGCCGUAA